AGUAACACGUGAGUGACCUGCCUUUUAGACUGGAACAACUUACCGAAAGGUGAGCUAAUGCCGGAUGAGUUAUAUAAGUGCAUGUUUAUAUAGGAAAAGUUGGGGAGACCUGACGCUGAGAGAUGGACUCGCGUCCCAUUAGCUAGUUGGUAGGGUAAUGGCCUACCAAGGCGACGAUGGGUAGCCGGCCUGAGAGGGUGGCCGGCCACACUGGGACUGAGACACGGCCCAGACUCCUACGGGAGGCAGCAG
This 252-nucleotide ribosomal RNA is filed under the name uncultured bacterium. RNAcentral describes it as "partial 16S ribosomal RNA". It matches the Rfam family "Bacterial small subunit ribosomal RNA", at positions 109 to 354 of the family's 1533-position model. The record is from RNAcentral.